RNAcentral lists this ribosomal RNA (1347 nucleotides) under Halomonas sp. RNAcentral describes it as "bacterial SSU rRNA". It matches the Rfam family "Bacterial small subunit ribosomal RNA", at positions 95 to 1439 of the family's 1533-position model. Lineage: Bacteria; Pseudomonadati; Pseudomonadota; Gammaproteobacteria; Oceanospirillales; Halomonadaceae. The record is from RNAcentral.
GCGGCGGACGGGUGAGUAAUGCAUAGGAAUCUGCCCGGUAGUGGGGGAUAACCUGGGGAAACUCAGGCUAAUACCGCAUACGCCCUACGGGGGAAAGCAGGGGAUCUUCGGACCUUGCGCUAUCGGAUGAGCCUAUGUCGGAUUAGCUUGUUGGUGAGGUAAUGGCUCACCAAGGCGACGAUCCGUAGCUGGUCUGAGAGGAUGAUCAGCCACAUCGGGACUGAGACACGGCCCGAACUCCUACGGGAGGCAGCAGUGGGGAAUAUUGGACAAUGGGCGAAAGCCUGAUCCAGCCAUGCCGCGUGUGUGAAGAAGGCUUUCGGGUUGUAAAGCACUUUCAGUGAGGAAGAAAGCCUUGGGGCUAAUACCCCCAAGGGACGACAUCACUCACAGAAGAAGCACCGGCUAACUCCGUGCCAGCAGCCGCGGUAAUACGGAGGGUGCGAGCGUUAAUCGGAAUUACUGGGCGUAAAGCGCGCGUAGGUGGCUUGAUAAGCCGGUUGUGAAAGCCCCGGGCUCAACCUGGGAACGGCAUCCGGAACUGUCAGGCUAGAGUGCAGGAGAGGAAGGUAGAAUUCCCGGUGUAGCGGUGAAAUGCGUAGAGAUCGGGAGGAAUACCAGUGGCGAAGGCGGCCUUCUGGACUGACACUGACACUGAGGUGCGAAAGCGUGGGUAGCAAACAGGAUUAGAUACCCUGGUAGUCCACGCCGUAAACGAUGUCGACUAGCCGUUGGGGUCCUUGAGACCUUUGUGGCGCAGUUAACGCGAUAAGUCGACCGCCUGGGGAGUACGGCCGCAAGGUUAAAACUCAAAUGAAUUGACGGGGGCCCGCACAAGCGGUGGAGCAUGUGGUUUAAUUCGAUGCAACGCGAAGAACCUUACCUACCCUUGACAUCGUGCGAACUUUCCAGAGAUGGAUUGGUGCCUUCGGGAACGCACAGACAGGUGCUGCAUGGCUGUCGUCAGCUCGUGUUGUGAAAUGUUGGGUUAAGUCCCGUAACGAGCGCAACCCUUGUCCCUAUUUGCCAGCGAUUCGGUCGGGAACUCUAGGGAGACUGCCGGUGACAAACCGGAGGAAGGUGGGGACGACGUCAAGUCAUCAUGGCCCUUACGGGUAGGGCUACACACGUGCUACAAUGGUCGGUACAAUGGGUUGCGAAGCCGCGAGGUGGAGCUAAUCCCAUAAAGCCGGUCUCAGUCCGGAUCGGAGUCUGCAACUCGACUCCGUGAAGUCGGAAUCGCUAGUAAUCGUGAAUCAGAAUGUCACGGUGAAUACGUUCCCGGGCCUUGUACACACCGCCCGUCACACCAUGGGAGUGGACUGCACCAGAAGUGGUUAGCCUAAC